This 253-nucleotide ribosomal RNA is filed under the name uncultured bacterium. RNAcentral describes it as "partial 16S ribosomal RNA". It matches the Rfam family "Bacterial small subunit ribosomal RNA", at positions 524 to 776 of the family's 1533-position model. The record is from RNAcentral.
UACGGAGGGUGCAAGCGUUAUCCGGAUUUACUGGGUUUAAAGGGUGCGUAGGCGGGCUUUUAAGUCAGUGGUGAAAACUUCGAGCUUAACUCGAAAACUGCCAUUGAUACUAUUAGUCUUGAAUUUAGUUGAGGUUGGCGGAAUGUGUCGUGUAGUGGUGAAAUGCUUAGAUAUGACACAGAACACCGAUUGCGAAGGCAGCUCACUAACCGAUCAUUGACGCUGAGGCACGAAAGCGUGGGGAUCAAACAGG